This is a non-coding RNA of Podarcis lilfordi (Lilford's wall lizard), 100 nucleotides long. The record is from the annotation of a GenBank genome assembly. Lineage: Eukaryota; Metazoa; Chordata; Lepidosauria; Squamata; Lacertidae.
GUGGCCACUUUGUCGUGUGUGUGUGUGUGUGUGUGUGUGUGUGUGUACAUAUAUAUAUAGACAUACAUACACAUACAUACACACAUACACACUGUGUGUA